GUUUCUUGUGCCUCAAAGAGAUUGUCUCACUACCCACACCACCACAAAUGACACUGAGAUCCAGAGGUUAAAUAAUCUGCCCGAAUUAUCACGCUAGUCAUUAUUGGGGCUAAAAUUUGAACCUGGAUUCCUGACACCAUAUUGAAGAUGCUGGCACUGUGCUAAGCACAAAAGGGGAAAAAUGUCAUUUAAUGGCUACCGACUUCAGACCUAGGAGGAAUGAUCACAGGAGCGAGUACAGCAUCUUGGCGCUAAAUCUAGGAGAGGAGUCAACACCAGAAGCACAACGCAGCAAAGAAUGGGAAUGAAGGACUGGGAAGCCCAUACUGCAGGGUUCACCAGGCUGGAUGUGCGGGGUCAUUACACUUCCCAUUUACCAUGGUGCCCCCACCAUGGCCACUUUAGGAAUCACACUUUGUACUAUCCAAGGUCAGGGUCUUCUCCUGCAAAGCCCAGAUCCUUUGCAAUUAUGUUUUCAACUUCCCUGUAACCCUUCCCAUUAAUAAGAAGAAUCUUAGAACAGACACCAGCUGGUUACUCAUUACACAUUUAUUGUACAUUUUCACAAUCUGGAUGCGCCACAGAAUUGGGGGCAUGGGGGUGAGGGAAGAGGGAAGGCAGGGGACACUGGGAUAUUAUGGGGGGGUCUAGAACACAGUACCCCCACCCCCAGCAUCUCUCCUACCCUUUCACACCACAACUUAGAUCUCUCUGCUCCCCCUC
Long non-coding RNA from Fukomys damarensis (Damara mole-rat), 723 nucleotides. RefSeq lists it as uncharacterized. The record is from RefSeq and is a predicted model, not a curated record. Lineage: Eukaryota; Metazoa; Chordata; Mammalia; Rodentia; Bathyergidae. The transcript is spliced from 2 exons.